RNAcentral lists this ribosomal RNA (253 nucleotides) under uncultured bacterium. Its description in RNAcentral is "partial 16S ribosomal RNA". It matches the Rfam family "Bacterial small subunit ribosomal RNA", at positions 524 to 776 of the family's 1533-position model. The record is from RNAcentral.
UACGAAGGGGGCUAGCGUUGCUCGGAAUCACUGGGCGUAAAGGGUGCGUAGGCGGGCAGGUAAGUCAGUGGUGAAAUCUCCAAGCUUAACUUGGAAACUGCCGUUGAUACUAUCUGUCUUGAAUACUGUGGAGGUGAGCGGAAUAUGUCAUGUAGCGGUGAAAUGCUUAGAUAUGACAUAGAACACCAAUUGCGAAGGCAGCUCACUACACAGCCAUUGACGCUGAGGCACGAAAGCGUGGGGAUCAAACAGG